Molecule: non-coding RNA, 29 nt
Filed under: Homo sapiens (human)
Lineage: Eukaryota; Metazoa; Chordata; Mammalia; Primates; Hominidae
Source: RNAcentral
UCCAUGCCUGGACGGGACCAUUCCCACAC